Molecule: ribosomal RNA, 1017 nt
Filed under: uncultured Campylobacterota bacterium
Lineage: Bacteria; Pseudomonadati; Campylobacterota
Description: bacterial SSU rRNA
Rfam family: Bacterial small subunit ribosomal RNA
Source: RNAcentral
CGUGCUUAACACAUGCAAGUCGAACGAGAACGGCCUUAGCUUGCUAAGGUGUCAGCUAAGUGGCGCACGGGUGAGUAAUGUAUAGUUGAUCUGCCCCCUGGAGAGGGAUAGCCACUGGAAACGGUGAUUAAUACCUCAUACUCCUUAAGGUGUAAAGGCCAUAAGGGAAAUGUCUAUUCGCCAGGGGAUGAGACUAUAUCGCAUCAGCUUGUUGGUGGGGUAAGAGCCUACCAAGGCGAUGACGCGUAGCGGGUCUGAGAGGAUGAUCCGCCACACUGGUACUGAGACACGGACCAGACUCCUACGGGAGGCAGCAGUGAGGAAUAUUGCACAAUGGGCGAAAGCCUGAUGCAGCAACGCCGCGUGGAGGAUGACGCAUCUCGGUGUGUAAACUCCUUUUAUGAGGGAAGAUAAUGACGGUACCUCAUGAAUAAGCACCGGCUAACUCCGUGCCAGCAGCCGCGGUAAUACGGAGGGUGCAAGCGUUACUCGGAAUCACUGGGCGUAAAGCGCAUGCAGGCGGUUGAAUAAGUUAGAAGUGAAAUCCUAUGGCUUAACCAUAGAACUGCUUCUAAAACUGUUUGACUAGAGUCUGGGAGGGGAAGAUGGAAUUAGUAGUGUAGGGGUAAAAUCCGUAGAGAUUACCUAGGAAUACCAAAAGCGAAGGCGAUCUUCUGGAACAGUACUGACGCUGAGAUGCGAAAGCGUGGGGAGCAAACAGGAUUAGAUACCCUGGUAGUCCACGCAGUAAACGAUGAAUGUUAGUCGUUGGGACUCUAGUAGUUUCAGUGAUGCAGUUAACACAUUAAACAUUCCGCCUGGGGAGUACGGUCGCAAGAUUAAAACUCAAAGGAAUAGACGGGGACCCGCACAAGUGGUGGAGCAUGUGGUUUAAUUCGAAGAUACGCGAAGAACCUUACCUAGCCUUGACAUUGAUAGAACACUUUAGAGAUAGAGUGGUGCCCUUUUGGGAACUUGAAAACAGGUGCUGCACGGCUGUCGUCAGCUCGUGUCGUG